CCUACGGGGCGCAGCAGUGAGGAAUAUUGGUCAAUGGACGGAAGUCUGAACCAGCCAUGCCGCGUGCAGGAUGACGGCUCUAUGAGUUGUAAACUGCUUUUGUACGAGAAUAAUAGUUCUUACGUGUAGGGAUUUGAAUGUAUCGUACGAAUAAGGAUCGGCUAACUCCGUGCCAGCAGCCGCGGUAAUACGGAGGAUUCGAGCGUUAUCCGGAUUUAUUGGGUUUAAAGGGUGCGUAGGCGGGCAUUUAAGCCGGCGGUCACAUGUCGGGGCUCAACCCCGGCCUGCCGUCGGAACUGGGUGCCUUGAGUGGGCGAGAAGUAUGCGGAAUGUGUGGUGUAGCGGUGAAAUGCAUAGAUAUCACGCAGAACCCCGAUUGCGAAGGCAGCAUACCGGCGCCCUACUGACGCUGAGGCACGAAAGUGCGGGUAUCGAACAGGAUUAGAUACCCUUGUAGUC
Molecule: ribosomal RNA, 459 nt
Filed under: uncultured bacterium
Lineage: Bacteria
Description: partial 16S ribosomal RNA
Rfam family: Bacterial small subunit ribosomal RNA
Source: RNAcentral